This is a non-coding RNA of Mus caroli (Ryukyu mouse), 1343 nucleotides long. Lineage: Eukaryota; Metazoa; Chordata; Mammalia; Rodentia; Muridae. The record is from RefSeq and is a predicted model, not a curated record.
CGCGUCCAUCUCCAUGGACGCUAGACUGGGGCAACGCCUGCGGGGUGCUGCCAUUGCUCUGCUCUGUAAAGCUGUUUCAUGUUGAGGCCACCAAGACAUCUGACCCGCUCAGACUCCCAGGAGCUUCCGGCGCUGGCAGUGUCCCAAAUAUUAAAAACAACAGUGGACAAUAGCGUACCAGGUUCUGAUGACUCCUUAUUUUAUGAGGAAUAUCAGGGUUCUGUUUAUCUCUACAAUCUGCCUGCACCAACAGUUUGAAUGAACAGGACCCUGAGCCAGCCAUAUGAGGAGAGAGAGGAGACCAAGAAAACCAACAGGCCAGGAAGAUGUCUCUAUUCUAAAUGAGUCUUGAAGUGGAAAGUUCUGGUUUCCUUGGAAAGUUAUGACAAACAAUGUUUUGCUGGGGCACAAAGGUGAAAGGAUGUCUCGCUAAAGCAGACACGUGAAAGACUGUUUUCCUGAAGCAGACACAGGUGAAAGGGUGUUUGCAUAGAGCAAACUCGUGAAAGGACCUGUGAUGAAGGAGUAGAAAUAUGACCCCGCUGACAGUGGGAGACGAGUACAGAGCACUGGUUUGAUUCGCUCCACCUCAAUAUUCUUCUAUAACAACACUCAUGUAUUGGUUCGCCUUACAUUGAACUCAACUCUGAUACUGAGAGAAACUCAACAAAGAACUGCUCAUAAGGUUCCUAUGGUAGCUUGCUGCUUCUAAGGCCUCUCUCCUCAGGCCGGGUGACAAGCCUGGCAACUUCUCCAGGAUUGAACUACAGUUGCUGGUUCGUGAUUGGUGUCUGCCUGCCAAGAGGACUGGAAUGUAGUUGUUGGUUCAUGGUUGGUGUCUGCCUGCCUAGACUGGUCUGCAGCUGCUGAGUUGUAUUUGGUGUUUGCUACAGGACUGAUCUGCUGACCAAGAAGAUCAAGCUCACCCCAAAGAACUAUGGUUGAACAGGUCCACUUCCCCCAUCCUAAUAACUUGUCUCUUCCACUACCUCUGCUGGGUGGUGGACUAGAGGAGAGGUUGAACCCUUCUUAAAAGUAGGUUGCAAAAAAUGCUACAAAAUUCAUGUUCCCAGUUAUGCCUAUUUUACCUUGUAAGAUCCUGCAUUUGAAUGUAUGUUACAUUACAUCAUACUAUACUACACAGAGCUAUAUAGGCCAUCACGAGCCUCUUGAGGCUAGACACUUUAGAUGGUUUUUCCUCUUUGUGUUACUUCUCUGAAAUAGUAUUUGAGUGUUUGCUGAGAGACUGAAAUGAAUCCGUUUUGAGUAUAUUGCUUUACUUUCAAAUACCUUCUACUGAUGUAAAGGUUUUUAGUUGUGUAAAAAAUCAAAUUAUUAAUACU